CUAGUCUUGAAGCUGCAGGAUGAUGAAGAGGCUGCUUUCUGCUCUGCGUGGUAAACACCUGACUAAAGUUUCCGGCAGCUUCUCGGGGCCAAGUGCCAACCCCUAAGACAGCGUCUUGCUACAUUGCUUUGGGGCCUUACUAAAUUGCUGAGGCUGGCUUUGAACUCAUGAUCCUCCCGCCUUAGCCUUCUGAGAUGCUGGGAUUGCAGUGAUAAACACAGGCAAACUCAAUUCCUGAGGACCUGGGACAGCCUUGGAUCAGUGCAGGGAGUUUUUAGGACCAGGAGUUCAUCAUCACAGUGGCGCUGUAUUCUCUCCGACCAGAUCUGCACUAGCCCAGG
Long non-coding RNA from Marmota monax (woodchuck), 341 nucleotides. RefSeq lists it as uncharacterized. The transcript has 3 exons. NCBI's taxonomy places the organism in Eukaryota, Metazoa, Chordata, Mammalia, Rodentia, Sciuridae. The record is from RefSeq and is a predicted model, not a curated record.